GUACACACCGCCCGUCACACCAUGGGAGUGGGUUGUACCAGAAGUAGAUAGCUUAACCUUCGGGAGGGCGUUUACCACGGUAUGAUUCAUGACUGGGGUGAAGUCGUAACAAGGUAACCGUAGGGGAACCUGCGGUUGGAUCACCUCCUUACC
RNAcentral lists this ribosomal RNA (153 nucleotides) under Parahaemophilus parainfluenzae. RNAcentral's name for it is "Haemophilus parainfluenzae (human oral metagenome) partial 16S ribosomal RNA". It matches the Rfam family "Bacterial small subunit ribosomal RNA", at positions 1383 to 1533 of the family's 1533-position model. The record is from RNAcentral. Lineage: Bacteria; Pseudomonadati; Pseudomonadota; Gammaproteobacteria; Pasteurellales; Pasteurellaceae.